GACGAACGCUGGCGGCGUGCCUAAUACAUGCAAGUAGAACGCUGAAGGAGGAGCUUGCUUCUCCGGAUGAGUUGCGAACGGGUGAGUAACGCGUAGGUAACCUGCCUGGUAGCGGGGGAUAACUAUUGGAAACGAUAGCUAAUACCGCAUAAUAGCAGUUGUUGCAUGACAUUUGCUUAAAAGGUGCAAUUGCAUCACUACCAGAUGGACCUGCGUUGUAUUAGCUAGUUGGUGGGGUAACGGCUCACCAAGGCGACGAUACAUAGCCGACCUGAGAGGGUGAUCGGCCACACUGGGACUGAGACACGGCCCAGACUCCUACGGGAGGCAGCAGUAGGGAAUCUUCGGCAAUGGACGGAAGUCUGACCGAGCAACGCCGCGUGAGUGAAGAAGGUUUUCGGAUCGUAAAGCUCUGUUGUAAGAGAAGAAACGAGUGUGAGAGUGGAAAGUUUCA
Molecule: ribosomal RNA, 454 nt
Filed under: Streptococcus mitis
Lineage: Bacteria; Bacillati; Bacillota; Bacilli; Lactobacillales; Streptococcaceae
Description: bacterial SSU rRNA
Rfam family: Bacterial small subunit ribosomal RNA
Source: RNAcentral